RNAcentral lists this ribosomal RNA (460 nucleotides) under uncultured bacterium. RNAcentral's name for it is "partial 16S ribosomal RNA". It matches the Rfam family "Bacterial small subunit ribosomal RNA", at positions 338 to 795 of the family's 1533-position model. The record is from RNAcentral.
CCUACGGGUGGCAGCAGUGAGGAAUAUUGGUCAAUGGACGAGAGUCUGAACCAGCCAAGUAGCGUGAAGGAUGACUGCCCUAUGGGUUGUAAACUUCUUUUAUAUGGGAAUAAAAUGUUCCACGUGUGGGAUUUUGUAUGUACCAUAUGAAUAAGGAUCGGCUAACUCCGUGCCAGCAGCCGCGGUAAUACGGAGGAUCCGAGCGUUAUCCGGAUUUAUUGGGUUUAAAGGGAGCGUAGGUGGAUUGUUAAGUCAGUUGUGAAAGUUUGCGGCUCAACUGUAAAAUUGCAGUUGAAACUGGCAGUCUUGAGUACAGUAGAGGUGGGCGGAAUUCGUGGUGUAGCGGUGAAAUGCUUAGAUAUCACGAAGAACUCCGAUUGCGAAGGCAGUUCACUGGACUGCAACUGACACUGAGGCUCGAAAGUGUGGGUAUCAAACAGGAUUAGAUACCCUUGUAGUC